Molecule: ribosomal RNA, 173 nt
Filed under: uncultured Prochlorococcus sp.
Lineage: Bacteria; Bacillati; Cyanobacteriota; Cyanophyceae; Synechococcales; Prochlorococcaceae
Description: partial 16S ribosomal RNA
Rfam family: Bacterial small subunit ribosomal RNA
Source: RNAcentral
CUCCUACGGGAGGCAGCAGUGGGGAAUUUUCCGCAAUGGGCGAAAGCCUGACGGAGUAACGCCGCGUGAGGGAUGAAGGCCUCUGGGCUGUAAACCUCUUUUCUCAAGGAAGAAGAUAUGACGGUACUUGAGGAAUAAGCCACGGCUAAUUCCGUGCCAGCAGCCGCGGUAAU